UCUUUCUCUUUCCUCUCUUCUUUCUUCUUUUGCUCUUCUAUUUCUCUGUUCUUCUUAUUACGUGAGUUCGUGAGAUUUAAUGGAGUGAAUUAGUUUAUUAAUCCGUGUGAUUGAUGAAGAUUGAACGACUGGUGGUGGUGAUUGACGUUUACUGAUUUUGGGAAAAGAAAGGGUUGAUGCUGUUAUAAUCAGAAUUAGGGUUUGUAGAGUUGAUUGGUGUUCUGAGGAUUUAGAAGAUGAAAUAUAGAGGUAUGGAGAGUUGAAGAAUCAUGGGUUUAGGUUCAAUUGAAGUUCUGAAAUUGUCUUAGAGAUGAACUGAGAAUUAGGGCUUCUGAAUCUGGGUUGAGAUUCGAUUAAAGAUUAAUUAGAAGAUGAAAUCGAUAUCUGGAAGGUUGAUUUGAUAUGGGUUUAUGUCUAAUUGAGUUAUGAAGUUGAUGCAGUGAAGAAUCGAGGGGUUAGGGUUUCUGCAUGUUAUGUUGAAAUUCAAUUUGAGUAAGAAUUAAGUAGAUAUAGACGGAAUUACAAGAUGGGUUUGCUUAAUUGAAGAGUUGAUUGAUGCUUUGAGUUUGAAUUAGAGAUUGAAGACAGUUAGGGUUCAUGACUUCUUCCCCAAAUUGAAAUUAGGAUUUGAGUAAAAUUGAUUUGGUAAAUUGACAAUUCAGAAGAUGAUAAAGCUUGGUAAGUCUCCAACUGCUCUAAUUUCAGUAUUUUGAAUUCAGUGGAUUAAGGUAUUUGGUUCAUUUGAUUUAGAAUAGAACCUGGACUGAGAUAAGUGUAGAAUGGAGUUGUAGUUGUAGUGAUUCUUAAUUUUCAGAUGUGGAUAAUUAAGGCAGUUCAUGUUGAUGUUGUAGCUGCUGUGGUAUGUGGUGUGUUGAACUACAGGGAACAUGGAGUGGAUGUUAUUGUUGAGUUUGUUUUAAUUGAAGUUCUUUUGAAUGGUCCUUUGUGGAGCUGAGGAAGUAAUCUGGUGUUGGGGGAAAGCGGUGAACUGAGUAUGAAUUGUAAGUAUCUCUGAUGUAAGAUUUGAGUUCUGUAUUGUGUUAAUUAAAUAGAAUUAGAAUGAGUGGGUGAUUGUAGGUAUUCCAGAUGGACAAUGUUAUCUCAGUUGAAGUUUAUUUGUAUGAAGUGGGUUUAUUGUGAAGGUGGUUGCCUAUAUAAGUGGUUGGAGUUUAUAGAAUGAAAAUGAUGAGAAUGGUGUUACUGAAUUUAUAGAUUGUGCAGGCAGGAUCUUAAAUGAGGGUGUUGGAUUAAGCUGCAGUUGUAGGCGUUGGUCUUGAAUUGGUGGAUGGGAGGUAAAGAAUUAGAGGAAUGAAAUGUAAUUGAAGUAGAAAGUAUCGUAUUACUGUGACUGGUGUCGUUGUCUGUGUUUUGAGGUUAAGUCAGUGAUGAACUAAACAAGAAUUCUAAGUGAGGGUUGUUCUAAUUUACAGGAACUUGUAUUGAAUUCCGUGGAUGGAUGUAUCUGAGUUGAGAAUUGGCUGAGCUGUAAUGGUUAGAGUAUGGAGUUUGAAGUUGAACUGUGGGGUUCAGGUCUAAGUGGUGGUGACUCAUGUUUGAUGGGUGUGUGGAGUUGAAUAUCUCUUGUAGGAGCUUAAAGCUGCAACGCAGUUAGUCUAUAUUAACAACGAUCGCUUCAAAGGAUGAAUCAGUGGAUCGUGGAUUUCGAGGUAGGCGUGGAUGGUCAUCAAAAGAGGUGGGAAUACUUUUAACUCUUUUGAAAUCAUUGUUGUUUCUUUUGAGAAAGUUUAUGUUUUACAUACUCAUGCUUUAUCUGUUUGUGCAUUCCAUGCGUUGUUCAGCUUGUAUUAUGAUUGUUCUGUUGGUUCCUUGUAAUCUUUCCAUGGUUUGGAAAGGACUUGUAAUAUUUUGUUAUCGUCAUGAAUUGUUAUGGAAAUAAGAAUUUCCACCUGCGGUAUAUAGGAUACGCUCCUUCACAUUUAUACCUAGAGCUUUUAUGAUAUAUUGGUCGGAAGUUUGCGAGUUAGGAAUUGUCGACAUCAAUACUUACGAUUAGGUGUGGAUUUGCGAGUUCGGAAUUGCACAAACAUAGUAUACAUUGUUUGAGGAAGGAGUUUGUCCAUAUACAUGUUUGAGUAUUACCAGUGACUUAGUCACUUUGUUGUUUGGGAAAAUAUGUAUUGUUUUCCAAAUCUUGCUCUUGAUUUCUUAAAAGUUGAAUGUUAUUCCUGCUGGGCACCUCUUCUAGGGAUGAUAUGCUCACCCAUUCCCACUUUCAGUUUCAUAGACAGAUCAGAAUUGCGCAGCGAAAGAUCCGAGAAGUUGACUACGUUAGUUGGUUAUAUUCUGAUAUGUUUAUUAUGUUGUAUAUUCUAUUUGUAAACCAAAUGACUAUUGUAUAUGUAGCAUUUGAGAGGAGUUCUUGUAUAUACAUUUCUGAGCGGGGUUAGUUUUGAGUUAAGUUUUUUUGUAGCAGAUUUCUUAAUUAAAAGUUUAAAUAUUUGAUUGA
Molecule: long non-coding RNA, 2467 nt
Organism: Papaver somniferum (opium poppy)
Lineage: Eukaryota; Viridiplantae; Streptophyta; Magnoliopsida; Ranunculales; Papaveraceae
Exons: 2
Source: RefSeq, a predicted model, not a curated record